RNAcentral lists this ribosomal RNA (497 nucleotides) under uncultured bacterium. RNAcentral describes it as "partial 16S ribosomal RNA". It matches the Rfam family "Bacterial small subunit ribosomal RNA", at positions 28 to 509 of the family's 1533-position model. The record is from RNAcentral.
GAUGAACGCUGGCGGCGUGCCUAAUACAUGCAAGUCGAGCGAACAGACGAGGAGCUUGCUCCUCUGACGUUAGCGGCGGACGGGUGAGUAACACGUGGAUAACCUACCUAUAAGACUGGGAUAACUUCGGGAAACCGGAGCUAAUACCGGAUAAUAUAUUGAACCGCAUGGUUCAAUAGUGAAAGACGGUUUUGCUGUCACUUAUAGAUGGAUCCGCGCCGCAUUAGCUAGUUGGUAAGGUAACGGCUUACCAAGGCAACGAUGCGUAGCCGACCUGAGAGGGGGGCGCGCCACAUGGGACAGGAGACACGGCCGACCCCCGCGGGGGGGGGGGAAGGAGGGAUAUCUCCAAAAGGGGGGAAAGCCGGACGGACCAACGCGGAGGGGGGAAUAAUGGUCUUGGGCUCAAAAACCUUUUUUAUGAGGGAAAAAAAAAUGUGAAAGAAACUAUGCACGUCUGGAGGGGACCUAAUCAAAAGCCCAGGGAAAGGUCGGCC